AGAGUUUGAUCUUGGCUCAGGAUGAACGCUGGCGGCGUGCCUAAUACAUGCAAGUCGAACGCUUUGUGGUUCAACUGAUUUGAAGAGCUUGCUCAGAUAUGACGAUGGACAUUGCAAAGAGUGGCGAACGGGUGAGUAACACAUGGGAAACCUACCUCUUAGCAGGGGAUAACAUUUGGAAACAGAUGCUAAUACCGUAUAACAAUGACAACCGCAUGGUUGUUAUUUAAAAGAUGGUUCUGCUAUCACUAAGAGAUGGUCCCGCGGUGCAUUAGCUAGUUGGUAAGGUAAUGGCUUACCAAGGCGAUGAUGCAUAGCCGAGUUGAGAGACUGAUCGGCCACAAUGGGACUGAGACACUGCCCAUACUCCUACGGGAGGCAGCAGUAGGGAAUCUUCCACAAUGGGCGAAAGCCUGAUGGAGCAACGCCGCGUGUGUGAUGAAGGGUUUCGGCUCGUAAAACACUGUUGUAAGAGAAGAAUGACAUUGAGAGUAACUGUUCAAUGUGUGACGGUAUCUUACCAGAAAGGAACGGCUAAAUACGUGCCAGCAGCCGCGGUAAUACGUAUGUUCCAAGCGUUAUCCGGAUUUAUUGGGCGUAAAGCGAGCGCAGACGGUUAUUUAAGUCUGAAGUGAAAGCCCUCAGCUCAACUGAGGAAUUGCUUUGGAAACUGGAUGACUUGAGUGCAGUAGAGGAAAGUGGAACUCCAUGUGUAGCGGUGAAAUGCGUAGAUAUAUGGAAGAACACCAGUGGCGAAGGCGGCUUUCUGGACUGUAACUGACGUUGAGGCUCGAAAGUGUGGGUAGCAAACAGGAUUAGAUACCCUGGUAGUCCACACCGUAAACGAUGAGUGCUAGGUGUUUGAGGGUUUCCGCCCUUAAGUGCCGCAGCUAACGCAUUAAGCACUCCGCCUGGGGAGUACGACCGCAAGGUUGAAACUAAAAGAAUUGACG
RNAcentral lists this ribosomal RNA (953 nucleotides) under uncultured Weissella sp. RNAcentral describes it as "bacterial SSU rRNA". It matches the Rfam family "Bacterial small subunit ribosomal RNA", at positions 8 to 915 of the family's 1533-position model. Lineage: Bacteria; Bacillati; Bacillota; Bacilli; Lactobacillales; Lactobacillaceae. The record is from RNAcentral.